RNAcentral lists this ribosomal RNA (1179 nucleotides) under Halobacterium sp. KeS-25. Its description in RNAcentral is "bacterial SSU rRNA". It matches the Rfam family "Archaeal small subunit ribosomal RNA", at positions 156 to 1332 of the family's 1478-position model. Lineage: Archaea; Methanobacteriati; Methanobacteriota; Halobacteria; Halobacteriales; Halobacteriaceae. The record is from RNAcentral.
UACUACUUUCAUGUUGGAACACAGAAAGUCGGAAACGGUCCGCCGCCGGAGGACGUGACUGCGGCUUCAUUAGGUAGAUGGUGGGGUAACGGCCCACCAUGCCGAUAAUCGGUACGGGUUGUGAGAGCAAGAACCCGGAGACGGUAUCUGAGACAAGAUACCGGGCCCUACGGGGCGCAGCAGGCGCGAAACCUUUACACUGCACGCCAGUGCGAUAAGGGGACCCCGAGUGCGAGGGCAUACAGUCCUCGCUUUUCGUGACCGUAAGGUGGUCACAGAAUAAGAGCUGGGCAAGACCGUUGCCAGCCGCCGCGGUAAUACCGGCAGCUCGAGUGAUAGCCACUUUUAUUGGGCCUAAAGCGUCCGUAGCCGGCCGAACAGGUCCGUCGGGAAAUCCACUCGCCCAACGAGUGGACGUCCGGCGGAAACCAGUCGGCUUGGGGCCGGGAGACCAGAGAGGUACGUCCGGGGUAGGAGUGAAAUCCUGUAAUCCUGGACGGACCGCCGGUAGCGAAAGCGUCUCUGGAGAACGGACCCGACGGUGAGGGACGAAAGCUUGGGUCUCGAACCGGAUUAGAUACCCGGGUAGUCCAAGCCGUAAACGAUGCUCGCUAGGUGUGGCGUUGGCUACGAGCCAGCGCUGUGCCGUAGGGAAGCCGAGAAGCGAGCCGCCUGGGAAGUACGUCCGCAAGGAUGAAACUUAAAGGAAUUGGCGGGGGAGCACUACAACCGGAGGAGCCUGCGGUUUAAUUGGACUCAACGCCGGACAUCUCACCGGCACCGACAGUGUGCAGUGACAGUCAGUCUGAUGGGCUUACUUGAGCCACUGAGAGGAGGUGCAUGGCCGCCGUCAGCUCGUACCGUGAGGCGUCCUGUUAAGUCAGGCAACGAGCGAGACCCGCGUCCCUAAUUGCCAGCAGCAGCCUUGUGCUGGCUGGGUACAUUAGGGAGACUGCCGUCGCUAAGACGGAGGAAGGAACGGGCAACGGUAGGUCAGUAUGCCCCGAAUGUGCCGGGCGACACGCGGGCUACAAUGGCCGAGACAGUGGGACGCUACCCCGAGAGGGGACGCUAAUCUCCUAACCUCGGUCGUAGUUCGGAUUGCGGGUUGAAACCCACCCGCAUGAAGCUGGAUUCGGUAGUAAUCGCUCUCAGAAGGGCGCGGUGAAUACGUCCCUG